GUUGAAACACCGGUUCUCGUACGAUCAGCGAAGUUAAGCAAACUGGAGCUUGGUUUGUACCUAUAUGGGUAAACACUUGAGUAUACCAGGCGCU
Acanthosepion pharaonis is the source of this 94-nucleotide non-coding RNA. NCBI's taxonomy places the organism in Eukaryota, Metazoa, Mollusca, Cephalopoda, Sepiida, Sepiidae. The record is from the annotation of a GenBank genome assembly.